Molecule: long non-coding RNA, 290 nt
Organism: Vitis vinifera (wine grape)
Lineage: Eukaryota; Viridiplantae; Streptophyta; Magnoliopsida; Vitales; Vitaceae
Exons: 3
Source: RefSeq, a predicted model, not a curated record
GGGCAUCAAGAAGGCCUUUUCUGAAGUUGCUCUCCAGACGAGAGAAUCCGUCCUUCUCUGUGACUCUCAAUCCUAGUAGGAUAUUGAGGCAAGUAUAGAUCACAUAUGGCUGAAGUAAGCCUUGGUGUGCUUAUGGAUAUUGUGGAUGAGCAAUGGAUGAGAGACACUCUACCUAUUGAUGAUCUUCCAUUGCCACCUGUAUUGGUUGCUCGAACUGAAGAUACGAAAGACUCAAGUAUGUCUUUACAUAUAACGCUUUAUUAAAUUGAUGAUAUUUGGAAAAUAGUUGG